AGCGAACGCUGGCGGCAGGCCUAACACAUGCAAGUCGAGCGCCCCGCAAGGGGGAGCGGCAGACGGGAGAGUAACACGUGGGAACGUACCCUUCAGUUCGGAACAACCCAGGGAAACUUGGGCUAAUACCGAAUACGUCCGUAAGGAGAAAGAUUUAUCGCUGAAGGAUCGGCCCGCGUCUGAUUAGCUAGUUGGUGAGGUAACGGCUCACCAAGGCGACGAUCAGUAGCUGGUCNGAGAGGAUGAUCAGCCUCAUUGGGACUGAGACACGGCCCAAACUCCUACGGGAGGCAGCAGUGGGGAAUAUUGGACAAUGGGCGCAAGCCUGAUCCAGCCAUGCCGCGUGGAUGAUGAAGGCCC
RNAcentral lists this ribosomal RNA (360 nucleotides) under uncultured bacterium. RNAcentral's name for it is "bacterial SSU rRNA". It matches the Rfam family "Bacterial small subunit ribosomal RNA", at positions 29 to 417 of the family's 1533-position model. The record is from RNAcentral.